Gasterosteus aculeatus aculeatus (three-spined stickleback) is the source of this 691-nucleotide long non-coding RNA. NCBI's taxonomy places the organism in Eukaryota, Metazoa, Chordata, Actinopteri, Perciformes, Gasterosteidae. The record is from Ensembl.
AAAGAAUAAAGGGCACGUCUGCUGACCCGGGGUUUCUGCCACUUUGAAAGGUCAAAUGUCAGAUUGAGGCACUGUGGACAUCAAAGAACAAUGCAACGUGCAGCUGAAGUACACAGAGUACGAUAAGUGCUGGACUGUGUCUCCCCCUGCAGGAUGAAAAGGGAAACGAUAAAAAGGGAUUAAACUCAUCUCUGUGGAAAUUGUAUUUACAUUGGGAGCAAAGCAGACUGAUUUUAUUCUACAAAAAAGGUUAAUGGUAAACUGCACAUAUCUGCAUGUUUAAAUACAUAUUUAUUAAUAGCAGCGCCAAAAAUGCAUCUAACGUGUCAGUAUACGUAGGCUUUUGUUUAAACAACCAACAGCACAAUGUUAUUUUUCAGUCACUCAAGAUAUAUUCGCAUCCUUCAGCCAGGAAAAACAUAAAAGCUACAUCCUUACUUCAAUUACAAUUUAAGUUGGAGCCAGAGUUUCCUCCUGGACAGAAGAGGGGGCUGUUUGUCGCGAGCUUCACGCUCACUCAGCCGCCAUAAUGAGACCCGUUUGUGAGUUUUGAGUGGAGCGUCAGGCUGCAGAUUAAAAACAGAAAUUUAACAGCGGCUGAUGAUUGUACGGACUACGUCUGAUGCCGGAACACAGUUGUGUAGCGAAGACAAACACAACUCUACACCAGCCACAGUUUUGUCGUCUAAUU